UGGGGAAUUUUCCGCAAUGGGCGAAAGCCUGACGGAGCAAUACCGCGUGAGGGAGGAAGGCUUUUGGGUUGUAAACCUCUUUUCUCAAGGAAGAAGAUCUGACGGUACUUGAGGAAUCAGCAUCGGCUAACUCCGUUCCAGCAGCCGCGGUAAUAAGGAGGAUGCAAGCGUUAUCCGGAAUGAUUGGGCGUAAAGCGUCUGCAGGUGGCUAUGCAAGUCUGCUGCUAAAGAGAGGAGCACAACUCCAUAAGGGCAGUGGAAAAUGCGUAACUAGAGUACGUUCGGGGUAGAGGGAAUUCCUGGUGUAGCGGUGAAAUGCGUAAAUAUCAGGAAGAACACCGGUGGCGAAAGCGCUCUACUAGGCCGUAUCUGACACUGAGAGACGAAAGCUAAGGGAGCGAAUGGGAUUAGAUACCCCCGUAGUCC
Molecule: ribosomal RNA, 426 nt
Filed under: uncultured prokaryote
Description: bacterial SSU rRNA
Rfam family: Bacterial small subunit ribosomal RNA
Source: RNAcentral